Molecule: ribosomal RNA, 410 nt
Filed under: uncultured bacterium
Lineage: Bacteria
Description: bacterial SSU rRNA
Rfam family: Bacterial small subunit ribosomal RNA
Source: RNAcentral
UGGAUUGGCAUGGGCGAAAGCCUGAUCAGCAAUGCCGCGUGUGUGAAGAAGGCCUUCGGGUUGUAAAGCACUUUUGUCCGGAAAGAAAUGGCUCUGGUUAAUACCUGGGGUCGAUGACGGUACCGGAAGAAUAAGGACCGGCUAACUACGUGCCAGCAGCCGCGGUAAUACGUAGGGUCCAAGCGUUAAUCGGAAUUACUGGGCGUAAAGCGUGCGCAGGCGGUUGUGCAAGACCGAUGUGAAAUCCCCGAGCUUAACUUGGGAAUUGCAUUGGUGACUGCACGGCUAGAGUGUGUCAGAGGGGGGUAGAAUUCCACGUGUAGCAGUGAAAUGCGUAGAGAUGUGGAGGAAUACCGAUGGCGAAGGCAGCCCCCUGGGAUAACACUGACGCUCAUGCACGAAAGCGUGGG